RNAcentral lists this long non-coding RNA (715 nucleotides) under Citrus maxima (pomelo). RNAcentral describes it as "long non-coding RNA (CMAX_LNC000672)". Lineage: Eukaryota; Viridiplantae; Streptophyta; Magnoliopsida; Sapindales; Rutaceae. The record is from RNAcentral.
GCAAGCAAGUCAAACAACUCUCGGCUAGGUUCGCCACCGUCGCAAGGUCGGUUCGCUGUCGUCGCAAGGUUGGGUUCGCGGUUCGUCGCAGCUUGUUUGGUUCACCAGAAUCACCACCGUCGCAUGCUUGCAGCAGUGCAGUUCCUCAAUUCGUUUGAUUCACCGGCGUGAGUAGCUGUUAUACUCUGUUUUAUGUGAUUUGUGCUAUGUGAUUUGUGAUAUUGAUUUGUGUUGUGUUAUACUGUUGUGAACACCACUGAUUUAUGUGAUUUGUGCUAUGUGAUUUGUGAUAUUGAUUUGUGUUGUGUUAUACACUUAUAUUGCCGUGAACACCACUAAUUUAUGCUUGAAAUGUUGUUGAUUGUUGGUGUUAAUAGAUUCGAAAUUGUAUAUUUCAAAUGUUAGAAAGCUGUUACAGUUAAAAAUAAAUUGUUGUUGUUAAUGGAUUUGUUGCUGUUAAUAGAUUCAAAAUUGUAUAAUUCAAAUGUUAGAAAGCUGUUACAGUUAAAAAUAAAUUGUUGUUGUUAAUGGAUUUGUUGCUGUUAAUAGAUUCGAAAAUGUAUUUUUGAAAUGUUAGAACUUAGAACAUUGUUACAGACUUACAGUAAAAAAAAUAAAUAUAAAAUGGAAGAAAUUGGAGGAAUGAUUGGUUAGUUUAAUUUGUUUUGACAUAAUUCUUGUAGGGUGUUAAAUUCAUAAUGGAAAAUGAACAAAG